This 305-nucleotide ribosomal RNA is filed under the name uncultured bacterium. RNAcentral's name for it is "bacterial SSU rRNA". It matches the Rfam family "Bacterial small subunit ribosomal RNA", at positions 336 to 658 of the family's 1533-position model. The record is from RNAcentral.
CGCCUACGGGGCGCAGCAGUGGGGGAUAUUGGACAAUGGGGGAAACCCUGAUCCAGCGAUGCCGCGUGAGGGAAGAAGGUUUUCGGAUUGUAAACCUUUGUGGAGGGGGACGAUAAUGACGGUACCUGACCAAGAAGCCCCGGCUAACUACGUGCCAGCAGCCGCGGUAAUACGUAGGGGGCAAGCGUUAUCCGGAAUUACUGGGUGUAAAGGGAGCGUAGACGGCUGUGCAAGUCUGGAGUGAAAGGCGGGGGCCCAACCCCCGGACUGCUCUGGAAACUGUAUGGCUGGAGUGCCGGCGAGGG